Molecule: long non-coding RNA, 998 nt
Filed under: Homo sapiens (human)
Lineage: Eukaryota; Metazoa; Chordata; Mammalia; Primates; Hominidae
Description: HSALNT0178324
Source: RNAcentral
GCGCCGCCCAGCGAGGCAGGGCAGCGCGGCGGGACGCGUCAGGGCCCCAAGGGACAGGAAGAAGGGGCGGAGGGGGCAGUAGACGGCCUUGACACUGGGGAACUGAGCGGAGACCCGCGGCCAGCAGGGGCUGCAGGAGGCCGCCCAGGAAGAGGAAGCUGUGAGAAGUGAGAAGAGGCGAUAAAGGAAGAGGGCAGAGCUGGCCCGCUGCUGUGACCGGGUAGCACCGUGGAAAGCGCCCAUGCCCAGCUCCAUGGCUCGCUGUGGGUGACCCUGUGCACUAAGCUUCUGAGAACCCAUGUCCGGACCUGUAAAGUGAGGAUACACUAAUAUCAGCCUGCAGAAUUGUUAAUAGGUUGAAAGAACUCGCUUGUGUUUGCUGGCCUCCCCUGAGCGCCUGCAUACAGUAGGUGCCCAGUAGAUGUUAGCCCACUUCUCUGCAGGCUUCUUGAUGUCCUGUGAAAUCUUGGCUGGGACCCUGCUUUGUCUGAGGUGCCUUCCUGCUUUGCAGGUAGUGGGAAACGGUAAGGUCUUUACCACACCCUCACUACUGAGAUUUGGCUAAUUAUCCCGGAUAGGUCCCUGAUAUCUAAGUAUUAAGGGGAAAGUAAGCUAUCAUUUACUCUGAUGCUGUUGUGAGUAUGUAAACAUCUCCUGUAAUUAUGCUCAGAAGCAGUUACCUAUACUGUUUAUAUGCAGUAUAAUUACUAUAAUUAUGUCCAGAUUUGGCAGAGGGGCAGGGGGAGGCUGAUGGGUAGGCAGGGUGGCCCACCUCUGGGCAAUGUUAGGAGCUAGAGAGUAUGGAUGAAAGCCCAGAACCCUCCUCCCAGUCUUGGCCUCUGGGUUUCACCCUCUACAGAGGAAGAAGAGGAAGCCACCUGUUGUUUCUGCAGGGCUCAGAGAUCUGGAAAGGAGCAGACUAGAAUCUUCUUUGAUGACAGGAGAUCCCUAACCAGGAUGGUGAAGCCAGGUCCUGCCACUCUCCACAUCAGUUUCCC